GCGGAAGUAGCUCAUUCGGUAGAGCGAUGGCCUUCCAAGCCGUAGGUGGCGGGUUCGAGCCCCGUCUUCCGCUCCA
Molecule: transfer RNA, 76 nt
Filed under: Bacteroidia bacterium
Lineage: Bacteria; Pseudomonadati; Bacteroidota; Bacteroidia
Description: tRNA-Gly
Rfam family: tRNA
About the family: Transfer RNA (tRNA) molecules are approximately 80 nucleotides in length. Their secondary structure includes four short double-helical elements and three loops (D, anti-codon, and T loops). Further hydrogen bonds mediate the characteristic L-shaped molecular structure. tRNAs have two regions of fundamental functional importance: the anti-codon, which is responsible for specific mRNA codon recognition, and the 3' end, to which the tRNAs corresponding amino acid is attached (by aminoacyl-tRNA synthetases). tRNAs cope with the degeneracy of the genetic code in two manners: having more than one tRNA (with a specific anti-codon) for a particular amino acid; and 'wobble' base-pairing, i.e. permitting non-standard base-pairing at the 3rd anti-codon position.
Source: RNAcentral